UGCCAGUCAUGUGCAAGUACGGAAGGUAGAAAUAAGUGUCCAGCUAUAUGUGGUGGUUUACCUGUUAAAAGGUCAAGAAGUCAAAACAUGGAUACUUUUGAGAGAGAUCAGCUUAUGCAAAGAGAACACCAGUGCGUCCUUGAUAAUCUCUUUCUUCUGAUGUCAGAGGAGGAACAAGCCAGUAUUAUUGGGAAGUUGAUGGAAUAUCUUUGAUCAUGGAUCUUCGAUAAUAACGACUGAGCAGCUGUACUUCUGCGAGAAAAACCACCUUGAUCUGUUUUAUUAAUCAAAUGAAAUUUUUAUUUAGUUGGGUACUCCUGUCUGAAAAUACUUAUAUCUUAAUAUAAAGAGUAAAAUUCAACUAGUAAAUCGCUGAUAAUUUCAUCAAAAUCUGA
This is a long non-coding RNA of Lytechinus pictus (painted urchin), 395 nucleotides long. RefSeq lists it as uncharacterized. The record is from RefSeq and is a predicted model, not a curated record. NCBI's taxonomy places the organism in Eukaryota, Metazoa, Echinodermata, Echinoidea, Temnopleuroida, Toxopneustidae. The transcript has 4 exons.